AUUGAACGCUGGCGGCAGGCCUAACACAUGCAAGUCGAACGGUAACAGGAAAAAGCUUGCUGCUUUGCUGACGCGUGUCGGACGGGUGUGUGAUGUCUGGGAAACUGCACGUUUGCGGGGGAUAACUCCUGGAAACAGUAACUCAUACCGCAUAUAGUCGCAACACCAAAAAGCGGGACAUUUGGGCAUCUUGCCCUAGGAUAUGACCAGAUGGGAUUAGCUCGUGGGUGGGGUAAAGGCUCACCUAGGCGACGAUCCCUAGCUGGUCUGAGAGGAUGACCAGCCACACUGGAACUGAGACACGGUCCAGACUCCUACGGGAGGCAGCAGUGGGGAAUAUUGCACAAUGGGCGCAAGCCUGAUGCAGCCAUGCCGCGUGGAUGAAGAAGGCCUUCGGGUUGUAAAGUACUUUCAUCGGGGAGGAAAAGAGGAAAGUUAAUACCUCGGCGCAUUGACGUUACCCGCAGAAGAAGCACCGGCUAACUCCGUG
Molecule: ribosomal RNA, 490 nt
Filed under: uncultured bacterium
Lineage: Bacteria
Description: partial 16S ribosomal RNA
Rfam family: Bacterial small subunit ribosomal RNA
Source: RNAcentral